UGAUGACAUACAUACAUUAAUAUAGCAUUUGGUAAAUAUACUUAAAUGUUGGGUUCAAAGAGUUCCCUCACUUGUAUAAACACAUCAACAGCCAACAUGUUCACUAUUUACAGAAAUCAUACACGGGGCAAGGGGGCAUAGUUUCUCCAUCUAAACACUAGGUUAAUAAAACAUCUCAUUUAACUGUCUAUUCACAACAGCCAAUUGUUA
Molecule: unclassified non-coding RNA, 210 nt
Filed under: Hevea brasiliensis (rubber tree)
Lineage: Eukaryota; Viridiplantae; Streptophyta; Magnoliopsida; Malpighiales; Euphorbiaceae
Source: RNAcentral